RNAcentral lists this long non-coding RNA (1542 nucleotides) under Equus caballus (horse). Its description in RNAcentral is "lncRNA (ENSECAG00000049291.1)". The record is from RNAcentral. Lineage: Eukaryota; Metazoa; Chordata; Mammalia; Perissodactyla; Equidae.
UUGAUCUCCAUAAAAAACAACCAGUUAAAAAAAAAAAAGACAAAGCCACACUGAGACGCUCGAUAACUGUUUGACUCCAGCUCAUCAGUUUCUGCAACGAGUCUAAAGCUCAAAUGUUAACCUGCAGAUGCCAGGUCUCCAUGUUUCCACAGGCCUGGGAUGGAGAGGGAAGAGUUAAUAGUCCAUCAGGGAGCUGAGGUCUUUGAUUGUGAUCACAUUGAUAAUUUUCCUUCCAUUAAGAUGUUGAAGCCUUGUGGCUGUUCUAAGGAUGACAGUAACACUUUAGUAAAUAAUGGUCUCUCCUGGCAUAAAAAUGCUGUAUUGUGACGGUAAGAAAGGAAAAAGAGAGAGGAGCUUGGCCUCUUACCCCUAUCUGCAUGCGCAGUGCUGCUGUCCCUGGUGCUGAUAUUUUCAUAGGCACACACCGUGGACCAUGGCAGAAUUUCCAGGAACGCUAGAUGUAUUUGUACUAUUUUUAUGUCUACUGAUUGAAAACUGAACAAAGGAAGUAAAAUGCGAAAGAACGUAAUUGUGAGGAGAUACUGCUUCUGAAAAGGAAUCCAUCGAAAGAGUCAAUCAUCCAGGCUCAGCUAUUCGUUAAUCCUACUUGACAUCUGUUACAUCACUUUUCUCAGUUCAUUUAUUCAACACGUGUUUGUGGAGCACCUGUUUAGACAAUGCAGGGGGGACUGGCUGCGUGGGAAGUGGCAACAGAAAUGGAAACUGUGAUCCUUGCUCUGGAGGUCUUUGCUGCUCCAACUGUAGUCUGAAACCCAGCACAUCGAGAGUUUAAUGAAACUCCUCCGUGAUAUGGCUGCCUCAGCAUCAAUUUUGUGCGGCCAAGCGGCCUGCAGGGGCCUUCAACUGACCCUCAUGCAAGCAGAUGACCUGGAUAACAGCCCCCAGGGUCACAAGUAAAUCUCACCAUCCAACACCUUGGGGCUCACAUUGAACAAAGACAACACAGCAGCAGCAGCACUGGGAGCUUGUUAGAAAGGCAGGCUCUCAGACCCCACAUCAGACCUCCUGAGUCAGAAUCUACAGUUUAACAAGAUCUCCCAGUGAUCUGAAUGGCCAUUAAAGUCUGAGAGCCACCAUGGAAAUCACUACCGUCUAGUUAGCCAUACAGGGCAGUCAAAUGAGCUGUUCACCAUUUGAAGAGGCCAUCACAAUGCUCAGAAGAUGAUCAAAGAAGCUACUUAAGAAUAACAUGCUGCCUUUUUAAAAAACCAAUGCCCACGCUGAACUCAGAAUGGUAAUGAGCUCAGGCAGGAGCCCAACUGAGACCUCCACGGCCGUCCCACCCAGCUGGGAUAUUUGCAUUUUAUACAAACCAUUUUAUGAUGCUAUAAAUUUCACAUUUUUAUAGUUACAGGUCUUAAUCAUCAUGAAUACCAUUUCUGCACGUAUCUUUGGUAAACGGAAUUAAAAUCUCCUCAUGAUCUGAAAAUGCUAAAUUGUUAAUAGCUUUUCUAGGGCUCUGUGGCUUGUUUUGACCUCUGAUGAUUUCAUCAUUGUUUCUGCAUAUAAAAAUCACAAUUU